UGAGGAAUAUUGCACAAUGGGCGCAAGCCUGAUGCAGCAACGCCGCGUGAGGGACGAAGGCCUUCGGGUCGUAAACCUCUUUUCUGGGGGACGAGUAAGGACGGUACCCCAGGAAUAAGUCUCGGCUAACUACGUGCCAGCAGCCGCGGUAAAACGUAGGAGGCGAGCGUUAUCCGGAUUUACUGGGCGUAAAGCGUACGCAGGUGGCUUCGUUAGUCGGACAUGAAAGCUCCUGGCUUAACUGGGAGAGGUUGUUCGAUACUGCGGGGCUUGAGGGUGGGAGAGGGACGUGGAAUUCCCGGUGUAGUGGUGGAACGCGUAGAUAUCGGGAGGAACACCAGUGGCGCAAGCGGCGUCCUGGCCCACACCUGACGCUGAGGUACGAAAGCGUGGGUAGCAAACAG
RNAcentral lists this ribosomal RNA (404 nucleotides) under uncultured bacterium. Its description in RNAcentral is "bacterial SSU rRNA". It matches the Rfam family "Bacterial small subunit ribosomal RNA", at positions 355 to 775 of the family's 1533-position model. The record is from RNAcentral.